This 3547-nucleotide unclassified non-coding RNA is filed under the name Hevea brasiliensis (rubber tree). Lineage: Eukaryota; Viridiplantae; Streptophyta; Magnoliopsida; Malpighiales; Euphorbiaceae. The record is from RNAcentral.
UUUGAGUUUAGGUUAAGAGGAAAGAAGACACACUGGGAAGUCUUACAUAUUUAUAUAAAUAUAAGAUUGAUUGCACAGAUUGCAGUUUAUGAGCUGCAGUUCAUCUUCAUCACUCACUACAUUGUUUCAUACAGAAAAUGAAACAGAGAUUACAUGGAGGAAAAAAAAAUUAAAACUUUAUCAUACAAAAGAAGGGUACAACUUUUCCUCUAGUUUCUGCUGAACAAACUUCUUAAUUUCCCUCUUUCCAACCGCUCAAGCAGCUUCUUAGCCCCUGGGAUGUCCAUCUCAGUAAGCUUCUUGAGGUACCCAAUUGCUCCAUAGGAAAUCAUCAGCUUUUUACAUUUCCUGCUUGAAGAAAGAGAUGUUAGGCAGGACACAGCAUACUUCUUUGCAGUGUUUUGUGGACUUGGGUCAAGCAAUUGCACCAGAUUUGGCACACUUUUAUCAUUCUUUUUAACUUCUCUGCAAUUCUGUGAAUAGAUCACCAAACUUGAAAUUGCUUGUGCCGAAACCUCCCUAACACUGUAUGAUUUAGCAUCAAGCAAUUUGACAAGCAGAGGAAUGCAUCCUGCUUCACCCACCAAUUUUUUCAUCUCAGUUGAGCUGCAAACCCGACAAAUCGCAGAUGCAGCAGCUUGUUGUGCACCCAAUGAUCCAGAUUUAAGGACAUGAACCAAGCGAGGGAGGAAACCAAGAGACACCAACAAUUCCAUAGAAACUGAGGUGACCAAAUUCCUUAAUGCUGCCACUGCAGAUUCUUGGGGCAAUGGACCGUCUAGAUACGUCAAUAGGCUUCGGAUUCCGCCUUCUGAAAUAACAAUUCUCCUUAGAUUGUCAUUGCUGGCAGUGAGAUGCUGCAAGCAUUCUGCAGCAUAUUCUUUGGAUCCUAGUAGAAUUCCACAAUCAAGGAGAUUGAUCAUGACUUUCACAAUCCCUUCUUCAGCUAAAUUUUGUCUAACCUCAGGUACAACUGAUAUGUUCUUUAAAGUACAAGCAGCUGCAGCCUGUGAUACUGAAUCACCAGUUUGACAGAUUUCAAUCAGUGGUCGAACCCCACCAUGUCCAACAAUUGCCCUAGUUGUUUCUGUUGUCAUUGACAAUCUCUGGAGCGAGAUGGUAGCUUUCUCUCUGCCCACUGUGCUACCUGACUCAACAAGCCGUAUUAGCGGUGGCAACACACCUUCAGAAACAAGCCAAUUCUCGCAUCUCCCAGAUUCUGCAAGCGAGCAGAUUACAGUAACAGCCUUUUCCCGGAUACGAGGAGAGGUUGCAGUUAAUAGCUGGACUAGAGCAGCAAUAUUGCUUAUGCCCAAAACAGCCAAAACGGUCUUCUCAUCUUCUUUCAUGACAUCAAUGAGGCUGUCAAGAGCUUUGUGCUUGGCCUCUAAGUGCCCGAUCUGAAGCCGAGCAAGCAAUUCCCUUAUAUUGCUAUGAAUGGCAGCCUCGGGUUCUGUUGAUGAACCAGCAGCAGCCAAAUGCAAAGUAGCUUCACCAAGCACCCCAGUCUUGAUCAAAAGUGCGCAAUCUCGUAAAUUUAAAUCCAAUUUCCCAGAUAAACCAUCAAGAUCACUCUGCAUCCUAAGUUUACCCUCAUAUUUCUCACUGUUACAUAAAUCUGACAAUUCAAUUGCUUCUUUCAGCGUCUUUGACACAGCCUGCAAUUGCUCUUUGCAAAGUGCAUUCUUGAAGAAGCAAGGGUGGCUCGACAAGUUAGAUAAAUGUGAGGGGAUCUGCUCCAACUUGGAAAUUAUCAUCUUCCAUCUGCCAGGAAACCCCUUUACAGCUUUGGCCUUAUCAAGUGCCAAGGGAACAAGCUCUUGAGCAUGUGAUAACCAGUCUUCAACUGAUUGAACAUCUGUUAUAACUUCUUUUUCUCUAUCUUCCACCAUGAUUUCUAUAUGGUACGGAUCAGAUUGGUCAAGAAAGCUGCACCAACUGAAUUACAGAAAAAAAAAACCAACGUGGUGACCCAACUAAGAAGAAAAGAGAAAGAAGUGAUAUUUGCAUAGAAAAUUCGAAAGCAGAGGAGCAGUUGCAAUCAUCAGAUAUGAAUUAUAAACAAAGGGUGCUGGUUUAAAAAAAAACAAAGAGCUUCGAGAUUCUUGUAUGAUCACACAAAGCUUUGUUUUCAUUGAAAACAAGAACCGACCAACAAAAUCAAAAAGGGACUAUAUAAAGAUGCCCACACGAGUCAUGCCAAUAUCCAUUUUUUCAUGUGAUCAUUAAAUGCCAACCAAAAUUAAAUCUACUAUAAUGACGAUACUAAACAACUUUCAGAAAGAAAACAAAAAAAUCGUGGAUCCACUCAUGUUAACAAAGCAAGUUACUUUUAACUCGGCUGUUUCAUUAACAAAAACGACGGCCAAUGGUUUUCUUCCAAAUACCCAAAAUACCCUUUUGAAUAUCACCUCAGGUAUUUUGCUGGUUUAUAGGGCAUGGUAGGAAGGGAAAAAAGAAAAACUUUACUCUUCAACUGUGAAGAAGGUAGGACCUGGCAUCAGAUUUAUCUUCUGGAUUUUGGUAAGACCAUCCUGAUCCAUAUCCAACGGUGAACAAUUUUGGGAUGAAAGCAGGAUUCUUAGACGUAUUGCCAUUUUUAUCCUCGUAAAUAUAGCUAGAGAUGGAUUGAGAGAGAGAAAGAGAGAGACUUUCCUUUGAAGAGACGACACAAGUCUCUAUCAACAGUUGUAUACAUAUCGAGUGUAUUUAAAUUUAUCAAGAUGAAAUCAAUGGACCAACCCCACUCAAUGUCAUAAGAUAAAUUAAAGAACUAUUCCAAACAGAAAAUACCUCAAAUUGCUUUGACUUUCCUCAACAUUCAAAGCGCCCUUCACCAUUUACAGUCACCAGAACCUGAUAAAGGCCUCCAUUUUGCUCUCUCCCUCUCUACAGCAUCUUCUUUAAGCCUCAGGAACUAGAAUUUGUCCUUUUCUCCAGAAAGUAAUACACAUAGCUUGAUCUUUAAACCUCUCGACCUCCUCGAUCUCAAUCGUAACCAGAAGAUGCUUCAAGGAAUCAGCAAACCCCUACAGCUUUGUCUUCAAACUUCAGUCUCUCUCUAAGCUAGAAUACAGUAAUACCUCCAAAAUCAGCAAUCAGCCUCAGUUUGAUCUUCAAAUUAAACGAGUACCCAUGAGCUGCUGUUGUUGUUGCCCAACAGAGAAGCAGAGAUCAACGGUCGAAAUCAGUUUAAAAAAUAGCAAAUAAAUUAGACAAGACUCGGGAGGACCCAGCAAAGCUGAAGUUUGAAAAACCCAACUGAAAACCAUUCGACCUUUAAAACUACCAGACACAGAAUGCAUAAUUUAGUGACCAUCACAAUCACAUUCAAAAAUCAAACCUUCUUCAAAUCUCCCCAUAGAAUAGAAUUAUUUCUCUCUCAUCUCCUCGCCUAGAAGGAGAUGUGUCAGAGCUCCCUGUCUGCCAAGAUUCUGUAAAAGCUGAAAGAAAAACACAUUAUUUUAACUUUGCUGUGUUUCUGGAGACUAGAGCGAGAGGAGUACGGACAGACAGGGGGGAUUAAAUGUCGAACAUUAUUGAUGAU